RNAcentral lists this long non-coding RNA (1947 nucleotides) under Oryza sativa (Asian cultivated rice). RNAcentral's name for it is "long non-coding RNA (OSAT_LNC000236)". The record is from RNAcentral. Lineage: Eukaryota; Viridiplantae; Streptophyta; Magnoliopsida; Poales; Poaceae.
ACCAGGAGCACAACAAGGAUGUUACAUGCUAUUCAAUUCAGAUCUACACACGUUUGCUCAGAAUCUUUGAUCAGUUUUGGAUGUAAUCAUGUGAGGAACACUCUUUCAAGUAGUUCCUCACUCAGAUACCGUCCAUGUAGGAAUCAUCACAGCAAACAAGCAAGAAAACUCAGUCAUCACAGCAAACAAGCAAGAAAAGGGAAAAAAUGAACAUCUCAAUGGGCUGAUCUAUUAUAUCAAAAGUAGUGAUGCUUUAAAAGGGGCGACACUAUAUAAAGGGCAGAAUAUUGAACCUAGUGAAAGCAUCAAGCAUAUAUUUUUCCAUCCAGUUGGGAGAACAGUUCAAAUUUACACAUGUUUUCUCUGAGUCUCUGAUCAGUAUUGGAUAUAAUCAUGUGAGGAACACUUUUAAGUGGUUCCUUACUCAGAUCGUCCUUACCAAAGAGGUCAUGCCUGCGUGACACUCUACAUAAUGAGCUUACACAGUGAAGCCAAUGAAGGCAUGUUAUUCUUUUCAGCUGGGAAAGCAGUUCAAUCACAGGAAGGAUUUUGCUCAACAGGCACAGCGACUUCAUUAUUUAUUAUUUAAUUCAGAAUUGCAUGUUUGCUCAGAAUCUCUGAUCAGUUUUGGAUAUAAUCAUGUGAGGAGCUCUCUUUCAAGAGGUUCCUCACUCAGAUACCGUCCUUGUAGGAAUCAUCAUGGCAAACAAUCAAGAAAAGAAAUGUUAAUGGGCCUAACUGUUAACUUCAAAGGGAAAUUAUGUUUAAGUGUAAAAAGAGCAGAAACCAAGCAGAUACAUUAAGCGCGUAUCAUUGACAGGUUUGCAUAACAGUCAAAUGUACGACAGGAUUGAUACUCUGGUUCUAUUCAGAUUCACAUGUUUGCUCAGAAUCUCUGAUCAGUUUUGGAUGUAAUCACGCAAGGAGUACUCUUUCAAGAGCCACCUUACUCAGAUACCGUCCUUGUAGAUGUCAUCACAGCAAACAAUCAUCAUAAAAAAAAAAUAGGGGGUGUAGCAUGACUGUAACCAAGCCUACAUAGAACAGGAACAGCAAAAUAUUCCUUCUUUCACAGAGUGAAAAAUAUGCAGAGUUUUGCUCAGACAUUUUUAGUCUCAGUUUAGGUAUAAUCACGUGAGGAUAGAUCCAUCGCUCAGAUACCGUCCUUGUAGAUGUCAUCACAGCAAUUAUGAGAUACAGUCAUUAAGUUGAGCAGGCCCACAAACUUAAAAACCACCUCAUUCCAAUCUAACCAUGUAACUCAGCGACAUCAACUCAAUCAAAAUGUACUACCUUAUAAUACGUAGUACCUUAACAUGUUUCUCAGGUUGAGAAACAGUCAAAUGUACAACAGGAUAGACAAUUUCUUCUGUUCAGACACAUGUUUGCUCAGAAUCUCUGAUCAGUUUUGGAUGUAAUCACAUAAGGAGUACUCUUUCAAGAACCUUACUCAGAUACCGUCCUUGUAGGAAUCAUCAAGGCAAACAAUCAUUCUAAAUCCAGUGCAAAACAAUCAUUCUAAAUCCAGUGCAAAUCAUCAUUCUCAUUUCAAGGCAGUAACAAAGACGACACAGAACACGAAUAGCAUAUGCUGGUUGCUGCUUAGUUCUGAACAGCGAGAAGCAAAUAUUCCAACUUCCAGAUGGUAAAAAAGAAAUGCAGAGUUUUGCUCAGACAUUUUUAGUCUCAGUUUAGGUAUAAUCACGCGAGGAUAGAUCCGUCGCUCAGAUACCGUCCUAUUAGAUGUCAUCACAGCAAUUUAAUUUGAGAUACAAUCAGUUCAGCAGGCAGAUUAACUUGCACGCCUCAUUCCAAUUUAAUCUAAUCAUCUAGCUCAGCUAGCUCAGCGAUAUCAACUCAAACAAAUCCUACCACCUGAACAUACACUACCACACAAGAGCAACCUUAACAACAAGAUGAUAAGAGAAUGAGAACGAUACAAUACCA